CUACGGGGUGCUGCAGUGGGGAAUAUUGCACAAUGGACGAAAGUCUGAUGCAGCAACGCCGCGUGGAGGAUGACACAUUUCGGUGCGUAAACUCCUUUUAUAUAGGAAGAUAAUGACGGUACUAUAUGAAUAAGCACCGGCUAACUCCGUGCCAGCAGCCGCGGUAAUACGGAGGGUGCAAGCGUUACUCGGAAUCACUGGGCGUAAAGAGCGUGUAGGCGGAUAGAUAAGUCAGGAGUGAAAUCCUAUGGCUCAACCAUAGAACUGCUCUUGAAACUGUCAAUCUAGAGUGUGGGAGAGGUAGAUGGAAUUUCUGGUGUAGGGGUAAAAUCCGUAGAGAUCAGAAGGAAUACCGAUUGCGAAGGCGAUCUACUGGAACAUAACUGACGCUGAGACGCGAAAGCGUGGGGAGCAAACAGGAUUAGAUACCCCCGUAGUC
RNAcentral lists this ribosomal RNA (439 nucleotides) under uncultured bacterium. RNAcentral describes it as "partial 16S ribosomal RNA". It matches the Rfam family "Bacterial small subunit ribosomal RNA", at positions 339 to 795 of the family's 1533-position model. The record is from RNAcentral.